UCUGGCCCCUCCGGGUCCGAGUUGUAAUUUGUAGAGGAUGCUUUUGGUGAGGUGCCGCCCGAGUUCCCUGGAACGGGACGCCACAGAGGGUGAGAGCCCCGUCUGGCUGGCCGCCGAACCUAUGUAAAGCUCCUUCGACGAGUCGAGUAGUUUGGGAAUGCUGCUCAAAAUGGGAGGUAUAUGUCUUCUAAAGCUAAAUACUGGCCAGAGACCGAUAGCGCACAAGUAGAGUGAUCGAAAGAUGAAAAGCACCUUGAAAAGAGGGUUAAAUAGUACGUGAAAUUGUUGAAAGGGAAGCGCUUGUGACCAGACUUGGGCGCGGCGGAUCAUCCGGGGUUCUCCCCGGUGCACUUCGCCGCGUCCAGGCCAGCAUCAGUUCGUCGCGGGGGAAAAAGGCUUCGGGAACGUGGCUCCUCCGGGAGUGUUAUAGCCCGUUGCAUAAUACCCUGCGGUGGACUGAGGACCGCGCAUCUGCAAGGAUGCUGGCGUAAUGGUCACCAGCGACCCGUCUUGAAACACGGACCAAGGAGUCGUCUUCGUAUGCGAGUGUUCGGGUGUCAAACCCCUACGCGUAAUGAAAGUGAACGCAGGUGAGAGCUU
RNAcentral lists this ribosomal RNA (600 nucleotides) under Trichoderma minutisporum. RNAcentral describes it as "eukaryotic LSU rRNA". It matches the Rfam family "Eukaryotic large subunit ribosomal RNA", at positions 121 to 744 of the family's 3401-position model. The record is from RNAcentral. Lineage: Eukaryota; Fungi; Ascomycota; Sordariomycetes; Hypocreales; Hypocreaceae.